Molecule: transfer RNA, 64 nt
Filed under: human gut metagenome
Rfam family: tRNA
About the family: Transfer RNA (tRNA) molecules are approximately 80 nucleotides in length. Their secondary structure includes four short double-helical elements and three loops (D, anti-codon, and T loops). Further hydrogen bonds mediate the characteristic L-shaped molecular structure. tRNAs have two regions of fundamental functional importance: the anti-codon, which is responsible for specific mRNA codon recognition, and the 3' end, to which the tRNAs corresponding amino acid is attached (by aminoacyl-tRNA synthetases). tRNAs cope with the degeneracy of the genetic code in two manners: having more than one tRNA (with a specific anti-codon) for a particular amino acid; and 'wobble' base-pairing, i.e. permitting non-standard base-pairing at the 3rd anti-codon position.
Source: RNAcentral
GCUUUAGCCAAGCGGUAAGGCAUCAGACUUUGACUCUGACAUUCGUUGGUUCAAAUCCAUCAGG